UACGGAGGGGGCUAGCGUUGUUCGGAAUUACUGGGCGUAAAGCGUGCGCAGGCGGUUUUGUAAGCCAGAUGUGAAAGCCCCGGGCUUAACCUGGGAAUGGCAUUUGGGACUGCAAGGCUUGAGUGCGGCAGAGGAGACUGGAAUUCCUGGUGUAGCAGUGAAAUGCGUAGAUAUCAGGAGGAAUACCGAUGGCGAAGGCAGGUCUCUGGGCUGACACUGACGCUCAUGCACGAAAGCGUGGGGAGCAAACAGG
This 253-nucleotide ribosomal RNA is filed under the name uncultured bacterium. RNAcentral's name for it is "partial 16S ribosomal RNA". It matches the Rfam family "Bacterial small subunit ribosomal RNA", at positions 524 to 776 of the family's 1533-position model. The record is from RNAcentral.